RNAcentral lists this non-coding RNA (22 nucleotides) under Arabidopsis thaliana (thale cress). Lineage: Eukaryota; Viridiplantae; Streptophyta; Magnoliopsida; Brassicales; Brassicaceae. The record is from RNAcentral.
UUGAAGCGGGGCUGGACGAAUC